This 322-nucleotide long non-coding RNA is filed under the name Populus trichocarpa (black cottonwood). RNAcentral's name for it is "long non-coding RNA (PTRI_LNC003549)". Lineage: Eukaryota; Viridiplantae; Streptophyta; Magnoliopsida; Malpighiales; Salicaceae. The record is from RNAcentral.
AGGCCAAAAUCUCAAAAAACUAAAUCAAAGCUUAAUUGCAAGCAUGAAAUUUACCCCAUUCAAACGCAAGAAAGAAAGAAACAACAGCAGGAACCGAUUUGUUCCAGGUAGAAAUCUAAUCUAAUGCAAAAUGGAGAGCAUGCUCUAGUCAUUGCAGCUCUAAAACACAAGAUGACAUUCUCCCUAUAUCUAGGAAACCUUGGCACGCACGACCGCACAUUUCUUUUAAACUACAUCAGUAAAACUUGUUCACAUCUACAACUCAGGUAUCAUCAACUUGUGAGUGAAACACAAAACUUGGGAAUGUGGUGGUGAUGUCCCU